UUAACAAAAACAUGGCCUUUUGAUUAUAAUUUAAGGUCUGGCCUGCCCAAUGAUUUUUAAAUGGCCGCGGUAAUUUGACCGUGCAAAGGUAGCAUAAUCAUUAGUUUUUUAAUUGAAAGCUUGUAUGAAAGGUUGAAUGAGAAAAUAACUGUCUCUAUAAAAAUUUAUUAGAAAUUUAUUUUUAAGUUAAAAAGCUUAAAUAAUUAUAAAAGACGAGAAGACCCUAUAGAGUUUUAUAAAUUUAUAUUAUUAUAAAUUUAGAAUUAUAUUUUAGAGUAAUAUAAAUAUAUUUUGUUGGGGUGAUUGAAAAAUUAAAUAAACUUUUUUUUUAUUUAUACAAUAAUUUUUGAAUGUUUGAUCCUUUGAUAAAGAUUAAAAGAAUAAAUUACCUUAGGGAUAACAGCGUAAUUUUUUUUAAGAGUUCUAAUCGAAAGAAAAGAUUGCGACCUCGAUGUUGGAUUAAAA
This 465-nucleotide ribosomal RNA is filed under the name Eutoxus sp. SPN-001. Its description in RNAcentral is "partial 16S ribosomal RNA". It matches the Rfam family "Bacterial large subunit ribosomal RNA", at positions 1804 to 2542 of the family's 2925-position model. The record is from RNAcentral. Lineage: Eukaryota; Metazoa; Arthropoda; Insecta; Coleoptera; Curculionidae.